Molecule: ribosomal RNA, 539 nt
Filed under: Glutamicibacter protophormiae
Lineage: Bacteria; Bacillati; Actinomycetota; Actinomycetes; Micrococcales; Micrococcaceae
Description: bacterial SSU rRNA
Rfam family: Bacterial small subunit ribosomal RNA
Source: RNAcentral
AAUUGACGGGGGCCCGCACAAGCGGCGGAGCAUGCGGAUUAAUUCGAUGCAACGCGAAGAACCUUACCAAGGCUUGACAUGUUCCAGAUCGCCUCAGAGAUGGGGUUUCCCUUCGGGGCUGGUUCACAGGUGGUGCAUGGUUGUCGUCAGCUCGUGUCGUGAGAUGUUGGGUUAAGUCCCGCAACGAGCGCAACCCUCGUUCCAUGUUGCCAGCGGGUUAUGCCGGGGACUCAUGGGAGACUGCCGGGGUCAACUCGGAGGAAGGUGGGGAUGACGUCAAAUCAUCAUGCCCCUUAUGUCUUGGGCUUCACGCAUGCUACAAUGGCCGGUACAAUGGGUUGCGAUACUGUGAGGUGGAGCUAAUCCCUAAAAGCCGGUCUCAGUUCGGAUUGGGGUCUGCAACUCGACCCCAUGAAGUCGGAGUCGCUAGUAAUCGCAGAUCAGCAACGCUGCGGUGAAUACGUUCCCGGGCCUUGUACACACCGCCCGUCAAGUCACGAAAGUUGGUAACACCCGAAGCCGAUGGCCUAACCACCUUG